RNAcentral lists this ribosomal RNA (746 nucleotides) under uncultured bacterium. RNAcentral describes it as "bacterial SSU rRNA". It matches the Rfam family "Bacterial small subunit ribosomal RNA", at positions 57 to 803 of the family's 1533-position model. The record is from RNAcentral.
GCAGUCGAACGAACACUUUGAUCGAUUUCUUCGGAUUGAAAUUUUAGUGACUGAGUGGCGGACGGGUGAGUAACGCGUGGGCAACCUGCCUCACACAGGGGGAUAACAGUUGGAAACGGCUGCUAAUACCGCAUAAGCGCACAGUACCGCAUGGUACAGUGUGAAAAACUCCGGUGGUGUGAGAUGGACCCGCGUCUGAUUAGCUAGUUGGCAGGGCAACGGCCUACCAAGGCGACGAUCAGUAGCCGACCUGAGAGGGUGACCGGCCACAUUGGGACUGAGACACGGCCCAAACUCCUACGGGAGGCAGCAGUGGGGAAUAUUGCACAAUGGGGGAAACCCUGAUGCAGCGACGCCGCGUGAGCGAAGAAGUAUUUCGGUAUGUAAAGCUCUAUCAGCAGGGAAGAAGAAAUGACGGUACCUGACUAAGAAGCACCGGCUAAAUACGUGCCAGCAGCCGCGGUAAUACGUAUGGUGCAAGCGUUAUCCGGAUUUACUGGGUGUAAAGGGAGCGCAGGCGGAAGGCUAAGUCUGAUGUGAAAGCCCGGGGCUCGACCCCGGUACUGCAUUGGAAACUGGUCAUCUAGAGUGUCGGAGGGGUAAGUGGAAUUCCUAGUGUAGCGGUGAAAUGCGUAGAUAUUAGGAGGAACACCAGUGGCGAAGGCGGCUUACUGGACGAUAACUGACGCUGAGGCUCGAAAGCGUGNGGAGCAAACAGGNUUAGAUACCCUGGUAGUCCACGCCGU